AACCCAUGGUGUGGGCAUUGGUUAGUGUAGCUCCUGAAUCUUUCCCAUGCUUCACCAAAACUCUCAUUGGUAUGUUGAGUGAAAUUGGAGAUUUGGUUUCUCAGCUU
This is a small nucleolar RNA of Eutrema salsugineum, 107 nucleotides long. It matches the Rfam family "Plant small nucleolar RNA R71". Rfam says of the family: R71 is a member of the C/D box family of snoRNAs containing the C (UGAUGA) and D (CUGA) box motifs. Multiple nearly identical copies of this snoRNA have been identified in Arabidopsis, and it is thought to function as a 2'-O-ribose methylation guide for 18S ribosomal RNA. The record is from Rfam. NCBI's taxonomy places the organism in Eukaryota, Viridiplantae, Streptophyta, Magnoliopsida, Brassicales, Brassicaceae.